This 62-nucleotide transfer RNA is filed under the name Liposcelis sculptilimacula. RNAcentral describes it as "tRNA-Trp". The record is from RNAcentral. Lineage: Eukaryota; Metazoa; Arthropoda; Insecta; Psocodea; Liposcelididae.
AUAAAUUUUUAUUUUACAUCCAUUUUUGAAAAAUGAUAGUCUAGAUCUUAACUUAAAACCAG